This 428-nucleotide ribosomal RNA is filed under the name uncultured bacterium. Its description in RNAcentral is "bacterial SSU rRNA". It matches the Rfam family "Bacterial small subunit ribosomal RNA", at positions 355 to 775 of the family's 1533-position model. The record is from RNAcentral.
UGGGGAAUAUUGGACAAUGGGGGCAACCCUGAUCCAGCAAUGCCGCGUGUGUGAAGAAGGCCUGCGGGUUGUAAAGCACUUUCAGUGGGGAAGAAAAGCUCGGGACUAACAAUCCCGGGUCUUGACGUUACCCACAGAAGAAGCACCGGCUAACUCCGUGCCAGCAGCCGCGGUAAUACGGAGGGUGCGAGCGUUAAUCGGAAUUACUGGGCGUAAAGCGCACGCAGGUGGUUGGGUAAGUCGGAUGUGAAAGCCCUGGGCUUAACCUGGGAACUGCAUUCGAUACUGCCCGGCUAGAGUAUGGGAGAGGGAAGCGGAAUUUCCGGUGUAGCGGUGAAAUGCGUAGAUAUCGGAAGGAACACCAAUGGCGAAGGCAGCUUCCUGGCCCAAUACUGACGCUCAGGUGCGAAAGCGUGGGGAUCAAACAG